Molecule: long non-coding RNA, 826 nt
Organism: Lolium rigidum
Lineage: Eukaryota; Viridiplantae; Streptophyta; Magnoliopsida; Poales; Poaceae
Exons: 3
Source: RefSeq, a predicted model, not a curated record
UGACGGCGAGCGACGCAUCUCCUUCCCACGCUCGCAGUAGCCGCCCAGCGCACAGACUCAUCGGGCAUGCUUGUGCGCACUUAACCUCGAUUUGUGGUGGUAGCGCCGGCAACCUGCUGCUCCACACAGAAAAAAAUGCGCGAAAAGCUUCCAAUGGCGACGCCAUGGCGGCUGCGCGUGCGAGCGGUCACAAUCAAGUGGUGCAAAACCGUGGAUCCAUAUGAUGGCGCAUGGUGGUAUGUGCUGAAGAGCGAGAAGAAAACUUGAAAUUGAAUUGUUUCUGGUGGAUGUGUCGUACAGUGGUAGUAAUUUGGCAUCUCGGGACUAGGAAGUCCAAAUGAUAUGGAUUCGCCAAGUUCACUUUCUCUUUAGAAAAUGAUACAGCUGCAGGUGUAAAACUCUGGAAAAGAUGGGCGAUGAGCUUUUGUAUGGAAAAGGGACAUAUGGUUCACUAUGCAAACAACAAAUGAUUUACUGCUGCCGUCAAGAUAAGGUCCUUAUUCGUUAUCAUUUUUUGUAUGAGUCUGUGAUGUUAUAUUUAUUUGUUCAGAUAUUCAAUCCAGUAUUCAAUGUCAUUUGCCUACUUCACAUUAGACCUCAUAGUCCUCCCGAUCCCUUUUAAUUGACUCGGAUUUAGUAUUAAAAGGGAUAAGAUGGAGUAUUUCUCUCUCAUGAUCAUAUAUAUGUAUGUUCUUUUUCUUAUAAACCUUUUGUUUUAUGGAUCUUCAAAGGAUUUGUAAAUUCCCUACAAGCUAGCUUGCACUAGGAUAUUUUACAGAUGUUGGAAGUGCCCUUUCUGUAAGAGUUAUUCUGAAUAUUUUUUAGU